GACGAACGCUGGCGGCGUGCCUAAUACAUGCAAGUAGGACGCAGUUGCGAACGGGUGAGUAACGCGUGGGUAACUACCUAUUAGAGGGGGAUAACUAUUGGAAACGAUAGCUAAUACCGCAUACUAGUAGAUGGACCUGCGUUGUAUUAGCUAGUAGGUAGGGUAAUGGCCUACCUAGGCAACGAUACAUAGCCGACCUGGGAGGGGGAUGGGCUGCACGGGGACUGGGAGACGGGCCAGACUCCUAGGGGAGGCAGCAGGAGGGAAUUGUCGGCAAUGGGGGGAGCGCUGACCGAGCAACGCGGCGGGAGUGAAGAAGGUUUUCGGAUCGUAAAGACCGGUUGGUAAGGAAGCGGUACUUAACCAGAAAGGGACGGCUAACUACGUGCCAGCAGCCGCGGUAAUAC
Molecule: ribosomal RNA, 407 nt
Filed under: uncultured bacterium
Lineage: Bacteria
Description: partial 16S ribosomal RNA
Rfam family: Bacterial small subunit ribosomal RNA
Source: RNAcentral